GUCACGACCGCACACAGACGCCGCAACGACUACUGCUGCAUCUCAUCUCGCCUCAUCUGGAGUGACGCAAAACAACACUCUUCAUAAGAAAUGUGGUUGUUCCCUCGUGAGCAGUUGACUUACCUCUUCUGGCACAGAAGGUGAGCCUCCGUCGUAGUUUCAAUAUUUUUGUCUACGGCUCCAAUACCGAGAAACAUCUGGUCAGCGUAAAUGACCUUGCAGCCUGGGCUUACCUGGCUUCUUUUCUGGUUCUGCAAGCGUCGUCGGUGCAAGCAUCGCCAUGUUCCACACGUGCAUGGCCAUUCCAGUCCGGCAACUGCAGUUACCGACUGCCUGACUUUCAGCCGCAAACGAAAUCAAGGCCAGAUGCAAGCACUAUCGUCCCAUCGUUCUGCGCAUGGUCUCCUUGCACGACGACGUCACAGCCAGGAGCGGACAUAAAUGCAAUAAAUGGACGGCGGUGCUGCGGUCUCUGCAGUGGGCACGGAGGCACGGCCAGGAGCAGUAUGCUUCAAUUUCCACGCUUCUGCCUUUUACAGUUCGCCUUCAACUUUGGCCUGCUAUCCCCAUCUAAGGUUAC
Molecule: non-coding RNA, 580 nt
Organism: Dermacentor albipictus
Lineage: Eukaryota; Metazoa; Arthropoda; Arachnida; Ixodida; Ixodidae
Source: RefSeq, a predicted model, not a curated record